CGAGACCGAUAGCGAACAAGUACCGUGAGGGAAAGAUGAAAAGAACUUUGAAAAGAGAGUUAAAGAGUACCUGAAACUGCUAAAAGGGAAUCGAAUCGUUUCCAGUGUCUAUAAUCUGUGGCAUAUUUCAUUGGCGAGUGUGUGCGUGCAUUGUUUUGGAAGCAGUUUUCUGUUCCUGGCUGUGUUGUGCAUUUGCUUGCUGGUGCCCUGUGUCGCGGUGGGACGUCAGAGUCAAUUCGUAAGUUGCGGGAAAUGGCUAUUGGGGAGGUAGGUCACUUCGGUGGCUGUUAUAUCCUGAUAGCUAGUAGUCGUGGUUGAGACUGAGGUGCC
Molecule: ribosomal RNA, 330 nt
Filed under: uncultured Oomycota
Lineage: Eukaryota; Oomycota
Description: LSU rRNA
Rfam family: Eukaryotic large subunit ribosomal RNA
Source: RNAcentral